RNAcentral lists this long non-coding RNA (216 nucleotides) under Mytilus galloprovincialis (Mediterranean mussel). The record is from RNAcentral. Lineage: Eukaryota; Metazoa; Mollusca; Bivalvia; Mytilida; Mytilidae.
CUUGUAUUUUACGUCAAAGGUGAUGGUUUUAAACUAUUUGACAGUGUGUAAUUAGAAUGUAAUAGUUUUUAUAUCUGUUACUUAUAUAAGAUAAAAUUCAUAAACAGAAAGUAGUAGCUGCAAUGAUAACAAUAAGCAAUGAAACCAUGGAAUGAAAAACAUUGUGACGCUAGCUGUGAUAAUCUUGAAUAUUAAGGCAUGUAAAUCUGUAGUCCC